CCUGUUAUGUUAUGCGAGAGUAUCUGCUUUUAAAAAUAAUUUACCAAGCUCCAGUUUGCACCUCUCAGGUAUUAUCAUACAUUUGAGUUACAGAGGUAACCAUCAGUUUCUUAAAAAGUCUUAUUAUAAAGUUUUGAUCCGUUUCCCAGGUUGCACUUCUGUUUCAGAAUUAAAAACAAAGAUGGCGGCGGAUGGAUAGUUGCAACUUCAGAAAUGAUGAUUACAAAAAGUCUUCUAGAAUUCUAAAAAUACCAUUAGAUCAGCGCAACAGUAGAGAAACGACAGAACAUAAGGGGAGAGAGAGUUGAGGAAUAACAUCCCCCGCCCUGCAGCGUGCCACACAAUGAGCUUCACUUUGCAUGCUGGUACAGACUGACGGUGUAUUUGUCCUGGAUGGAAAAGAAAAAUCCUUCUCAUCAUCUUCCUCCUACUGCUUUCCCAAAAAGGUCAAGGGGUUGCCACUUAGCCCGGAGGAAAAAAAGCACAUGUGACACUGGAUCCUUGCAGGGCUAAUGGUCAUUACUCGAGCAGACGACCCGCCCUCCCUCCGCCACCCUCAGACCUGCUGCUGGAGGUUCAGAAACCCACUUCCUGGUAUUUCGUCUCAAGGACUUCUCAAACACUGCCCUGGGUGUCCCUCCGGGGAAACAAAACAUGCUAGAGAGAGGAAGGGAAACAGUAGCUUAAUGUGAUCUGAGGACAACAACAACAACAAUGCCUGGAAAGUUUACCUACCGGGCCGUAUUCUGCCCUGAUGUGUUUCCAGUCAUUCAGGAGACCAACAGGUGCCAGGAAAUACGCCUCAGUCACGCUGUAGCAUUCAUUCAGAAAUGUGAUACUGUAAAUGUGUAGGAAAGUGCAUGAUACAUGUGAAACUGAGUAUAUACAUAUAUAUGCAUGUGUGAAUGUUUUAGGCGUUUUAUGUAAAGUGUGUGUGGUUUUUGCUGUGCCCUUACUGUUAAGUCUGUUUGGGGAAAAAUAAGAGACAGAGAGAAAAUGAGACUUUUCUGCAACAUUUCUACUUCAAUUAUUCUUUGAUCUUAUUACAGAGGAAAAGCUGACUAUAUGCUUGGAUGUGUUUUGGUGUUUGCCUCCAUCAUAUAUGUCUGUUAUUAGAGGUUAUAAGUCUCAGUCUCAGGUAGAAAUGUGAUUUUUUUUUUUUAAUAGAGCACAUGGUUUUAAAAAUCUGGAGAGGGUGAGUGAAUCUCUGCUCUCAACCAGCACAGAGAAAGAGCACAAGUGGCACCUAGUGGACUGCAGCAGUGCUGCACCCUGUCUUGAAGAGAGGCUGUUUCAGGCAUGGCUUGCUUUCUCACUUACUGACUUGGUGACCUGAGAAAUAGGUCUAGGGUCUCUUGUUUUACGUCACCUGUUAAGGUUGACCUUUAUUCUUGUUCAGGACAGUUGUAAAGUACUUUGAAACAAUGCUUCUAUAUAAAUAAAGUUAGAAUGAUAGUCAAC
Long non-coding RNA from Sander lucioperca (pikeperch), 1461 nucleotides. RefSeq lists it as uncharacterized. The transcript has 7 exons. The record is from RefSeq and is a predicted model, not a curated record. Lineage: Eukaryota; Metazoa; Chordata; Actinopteri; Perciformes; Percidae.